GACGAACGCUGGCGGCGUGCUUAACACAUGCAAGUCGAACGGAAAGGCCCUGCUUGCAGGGUACUCGAGUGGCGAACGGGUGAGUAACACGUGGGUGAUCUGCCCUGCACUUCGGGAUAAGCCUGGGAAACUGGGUCUAAUACCGGAUAGGAGCCAUUUUUAGUGUGAUGGUUGGAAAGUUUUUUCGGUGUAGGAUGAGCUCGCGGCCUAUCAGCUUGUUGGUGGGGUAAUGGCCUACCAAGGCGGCGACGGGUAGCCGGCCUGAGAGGGUGACGGCCACAUUGGGACUGAGAUACGGCCCAGACUCCUACGGGAGGCAGCAGUGGGGAAUAUUGCACAAUGGGCGCAAGCCUGAUGCAGCGACGCCGCGUGGGGGAUGACGGCCUUCGGGUUGUAAACUCCUUUCGCUAGGGACGAAGCUUUUUGUGACGGUACCUAGAUAAGAAGCACCGGCUAACUACGUG
This 464-nucleotide ribosomal RNA is filed under the name uncultured bacterium. Its description in RNAcentral is "partial 16S ribosomal RNA". It matches the Rfam family "Bacterial small subunit ribosomal RNA", at positions 28 to 507 of the family's 1533-position model. The record is from RNAcentral.